GAUGAACGCUGGCGGCGUGCCUAAUACAUGCAAGUCGAGCGAACGGACGAGAAGCUUGCUUCUCUGAUGUUAGCGGCGGACGGGUGAGUAACACGUGGAUAACCUACCUAUAAGACUGGGAUAACUUCGGGAAACCGUAGCUAAUACCGGAUAAUAUUUUGAACCGCAUGGUUCAAAAGUGAAAGACGGUCUUGCUGUCACUUAUAGAUGGAUCCGCGCUGCAUUAGCUAGUUGGUAAGGUAACGGCUUACCAAGGCAACGAUGCAUAGCCGACCUGAGAGGGUGAUCGGCCACACUGGAACUGAGACACGGUCCAGACUCCUACGGGAGGCAGCAGUAGGGAAUCUUCCGCAAUGGGCGAAAGCCUGACGGAGCAACGCCUCGUGAGUGAUGAAGGUCUUCGGAUCGUAAAACUCUGUUAUUAGGGAAGAACAUAUGUGUAAGUAACUGUGCACAUCUUGACGGUACCGAAGCAGAAAGCCACGGCUAACUACGU
Molecule: ribosomal RNA, 496 nt
Filed under: uncultured bacterium
Lineage: Bacteria
Description: partial 16S ribosomal RNA
Rfam family: Bacterial small subunit ribosomal RNA
Source: RNAcentral